AGGAAUCCAACGCUUUAAACGGUACACGAAUCAAAGCUAAAAUGAAGAAGUUAUAGCCAUUGGAAGCCAAUCGCACCAAGUUGAAGGCGAAUUUCGCAACUGCGAAAUCACAAGGUGCUAGCUGCGAAAUCAGCCUUUGGCUGCGAAAUGGAGACUUUCAGCUUGCGAAAUUUCGCAGCCCAUCUUGCAUGCCUGUGAAAUCCACCUGAGUGCUUCCAG
RNAcentral lists this long non-coding RNA (219 nucleotides) under Vitis vinifera (wine grape). RNAcentral's name for it is "long non-coding RNA (VVIN_LNC005053)". Lineage: Eukaryota; Viridiplantae; Streptophyta; Magnoliopsida; Vitales; Vitaceae. The record is from RNAcentral.